UUAUGGUGAUCUCGCAGACGAAAUGUCUGAUUCCGAGGAUGAGGACGACGGAGAUACUUUGGAGGAAUACUUGCAGCGCUGGGGCGGUGAAGAUUCAACGGAAGAAGUUGAGGAGUCAGCGCUGUCAU
RNAcentral lists this ribosomal RNA (128 nucleotides) under Karenia brevis. Its description in RNAcentral is "partial Eukaryotic small subunit ribosomal RNA". The record is from RNAcentral. Lineage: Eukaryota; Dinophyceae; Gymnodiniales; Kareniaceae.